Molecule: ribosomal RNA, 552 nt
Filed under: Triticum aestivum (bread wheat)
Lineage: Eukaryota; Viridiplantae; Streptophyta; Magnoliopsida; Poales; Poaceae
Description: partial small subunit ribosomal RNA
Source: RNAcentral
AUGAGUUCCUCUAGUGUGUUGCAUCUUAGCUCCACUAGUUUGCACGACUUGAUUUCUAUGCUUUCUCAUGUUGCAUCCAAUUCUUGGAUUACUUGCUCCUAUCACAUGUUUGGUUGCAACAAUGUCAUUACUUCACACAUGCCAUGUCCUUUUGCUUGUCACUUGCAUCACUUGAUUGCCUCACACAUGAUGAACAAUUUCUCUUUCGAUUGUGUUGAGUGCCACACUAUUUUCACUAUACCAUGUGCAAAUUGUGCUCGGAUUGUCUUGCACUUGCCCAAUGUGUUUAGACAUUCCAUUUUAUUUGGUGUUGUGAAUGACUCUUAUGCCUACCAUAGACCAUUCAUUGAGAGUCCUAUGCAUGCUUGUUUCCAUGAUGAUUUUCCAUGUGCUCAAUUUAUGUGCUUACAUGACAUGCCACACUCCCUUGUCACACCAUAUGCUAUGCUUGAUUACAACACUUGUUGGGUGAAUCACCUCUUGAAUGCUUGGUUUUGCCUUAAUGCCAACCAUAUUUGUUUUUCCAAGUGCUUGUUAUCUUGCUCCUUUUGA